Molecule: ribosomal RNA, 548 nt
Filed under: uncultured bacterium
Lineage: Bacteria
Description: bacterial SSU rRNA
Rfam family: Bacterial small subunit ribosomal RNA
Source: RNAcentral
UAGGGAAUCUUCCGCAAUGGGCGAAAGCCUGACGGAGCAACGCCGCGUGAGUGAAGAAGGAUUUCGGUUCGUAAAGCUCUGUUGUUAGGGAAGAAUGAUUGUGUAGUAACUAUACACAGUAGAGACGGUACCUAACCAGAAAGCCACGGCUAACUACGCGCCAGCAGCCGCGGUAAUACGUAGGUGGCAAGCGUUGUCCGGAAUUAUUGGGCGUAAAGCGCGCGCAGGUGGUUUAAUAAGUCUGAUGUGAAAGCCCACGGCUCAACCGUGGAGGGUCAUUGGAAACUGUUAAACUUGAGUGCAGGAGAGAAAAGUGGAAUUCCUAGUGUAGCGGUGAAAUGCGUAGAGAUUAGGAGGAACACCAGUGGCGAAGGCGGCUUUUUGGCCUGUAACUGACACUGAGGCGCGAAAGCGUGGGGAGCAAACAGGAUUAGAUACCCUGGUAGUCCACGCCGUAAACGAUGAGUGCUAAGUGUUGGUCUCAUAAGAGAUCAGUGCUGCAGCUAACGCAUUAAGCACUCCGCCUGGGGAGUACGACCGCAAGGUUG